This 69-nucleotide transfer RNA is filed under the name Heterodoxus spiniger. RNAcentral describes it as "tRNA-Ile". The record is from RNAcentral. Lineage: Eukaryota; Metazoa; Arthropoda; Insecta; Psocodea; Boopidae.
UACAAAGUGCCUGAUAAAAAGGGUUAUUUUGAUAAGAUAAGCAUAGUGUUUUUAUAGCACUCUUUGUAA